CUCAUUCAUAUCAGUACGAUUUAUGUUGUUAAGGCGUUGAUUAGAAGUGCACGUUCUGCUCUUUGAUUCGAUUUUAUCAAAUUUCAAUUCAAUUCUUUGAUUUACAAUUUUAAAAAGUAGUCAUCGAACACCGAAUCGAACUAUUUCAGUUUGAUUCAUUUUCUUUCAACUUUUUUUUUAUUUGAUUUGGUGUUCAGAAAUAUUUAAAAUUUUUGUCCUUCGUUAAAAGUGUCUACUUUAGACAAAAUUAUUUCCUCAAUAUUUAAGAAUUGAAAAUUUAUCAAAUAUUUUAAUAAAAUAUAUG
Molecule: long non-coding RNA, 304 nt
Filed under: Capsicum annuum
Lineage: Eukaryota; Viridiplantae; Streptophyta; Magnoliopsida; Solanales; Solanaceae
Description: long non-coding RNA (CANN_LNC021230)
Source: RNAcentral